CAGUCAUACCAACGGGAAAUCAACCUUUUGAGCUUGGUCUCGUGGGUUUUGAAGAGUUUCAAAGCCUUCGGAUUCGCGGGAUUGGGAUCUCUUGGUGUACUUUUUCGUACGGUUAGUCAACAUCGGUUUUAAAUGUCAUAAAAUGGCUGGAGGAAUGUAGCUUCGAUCUCGUAUUGAAGUGUUAUAGCCUUUGGUAGACGUGAUGUUUGAGACCGAGGAUUGCAACGGAUACCCUUUAGGGCUAUUCGUCUGAUCUCUGAUACGUUGCCUUGAUGUCGAAAGCUU
RNAcentral lists this ribosomal RNA (285 nucleotides) under Funneliformis mosseae. The record is from RNAcentral. Lineage: Eukaryota; Fungi; Glomeromycota; Glomeromycetes; Glomerales; Glomeraceae.